UUUGCAAACCUCUGCAAGGCCAUGCUGUGCGUAACGUAGAUACAGAUCAAAUAGUUUUGUGCAUGUAUGUAUAUAUAUAUAAGAGGUCUCGAAACAUCUCCUUCCUUUAUUCGGGACCCAACAGACGGAUAAAACAUGGCGCAGCUGUUUUUCUUUGCUGUACUCGCUUUGGCGGCUUCUGCAAGCGGGCAGCAAUCUUCCUCUUGCGUUUUCCCUUUCGUCUAUAACGGGGACACGUACGAUUCCUGUACAACCGCUGGCUCCACCGCCUUCUGGUGCUCUUUCGACAACGUCUACUCGGGCAACUGGAAGUACUGUGACGAGCAGGAGUGCACGUUCCCGUUCAUCUAUAACGGGCAGACUUUCUUGUCCUGUGCGGAGGGAGGUGCGCUCGCCUCCGACUGGUGCUCUCUGGACGCUGUGUAUGACGGGGAGUAUGUCUCCUGCAGCGACAAUGCUGUGAUUGUGGAUCCCCUUGAAGACAAACCAGAGGCGUGCCACUUCCCGUUUGAGUACCAGGGCCAGACCUACAGCACCUGUACUCUGGAGGAAUCCAGCGACCUGUGGUGUUCUCUGGACGCCGUCUAUGACGGAAACUACAAGUACUGCGGGGAAGAGGAGUGUGUGUUCCCCUUCAUCUACAAUGGGGAGGAGUACAGCGAGUGUGUGAUUGCUGACAACGGCAGGGGCUGGUGUUCUCUGGACCACAUCGACCAAGGGAACAGGGUGUACUGUUCGGAACAGGUUUGUAGCGAGACCGUCUACAAGGACCAGGGCCACCUUCACUCCCCCAACUACCCCCAGAACUACAACCACGACAUGGACUGUUCCUGGAUCUUCCCGGCUAGAGGCGGCACCGUCAACCUCGAGUUUCAGGACUUCGCUCUAGAGGGGGGAGCGGCUACCUUCGGGAUGUGCGAGUUUGACUACGUCGAGAUCUUUGCUGGGGACAGGAAUCUGGGAACCUGGUGUGGUGACUACGGUCCGACUAACAUCACAUCCACCAACGAGGACGUGACCAUCCACAUGGUGACUGACGACAGUGUGGCGGCCAGGGGGUGGAAUUUGAAGUUUAAGGUGGUCGGGGCUGCACCCUUCGGACCAGGUCUAGAGGAGUGUGGGGGGCUACUGCACGGGCAACACGGGGAGAGAACGUCUCCUGGGUUCCCUGAUAGUUACCACAACGAUAUCGACUGUACCUGGACGCUUGAGGCGAAACAUGGAGGCGUGAUUCUGGAGUUCCCGGAGUUCAGCCUGGAGAAGCCCGGGGAAUACCAGGGGUGCACUUACGACUUCGUGGAAAUACACCACGGCCUCAACCGCGUCGGCCGUUUCUGCGGCGACUCCCCCCUCCGACGACCACGUACUACGAGAAGGUGAGUAUCCGGUUCCGGACCGACCAGCACACCGUGGCUUCCGGAUUCCGGUUCAGCUGGACUUACCUCCACGCUGAGACCUCCCCGGUCCCGCCUAUGCCGACCACUCCGGAACUGCCUAAGACGACCACUCCGGAGCGCCCAAUGGAGUCUACUACCUAUCCACCGGAACCCACCCAGGCUCCUACCACAACUUAUCCACCGGAGCCCACUCAGUCCCAGCCCUAGCCGACGGCGCCCAGGCCGACCACAGUUAUACCUAUCUAACCAGACGGCAGUGGCAAAUGGAGCGAUGCAGCUGAAGACAACUUGGGCACGGUCCUCUUUGAAGACGCCAAGAGUCUCUCCUCCAUAAAGCAUCAUAUGAUUGUGGUUUAGCUUCUUAACCUCCAAGGUUAAUAAACUUUGAGCCAGA
RNA transcript from Branchiostoma belcheri (Belcher's lancelet), 1791 nucleotides. It is a transcript of the gene named cubilin-like, with no coding region annotated. The transcript is spliced from 11 exons. The record is from RefSeq and is a predicted model, not a curated record. Lineage: Eukaryota; Metazoa; Chordata; Leptocardii; Amphioxiformes; Branchiostomatidae.